RNAcentral lists this ribosomal RNA (954 nucleotides) under uncultured archaeon. RNAcentral describes it as "bacterial SSU rRNA". It matches the Rfam family "Archaeal small subunit ribosomal RNA", at positions 88 to 1047 of the family's 1478-position model. The record is from RNAcentral.
GCUCAGUAACACGUGGUCAAUCUGCCCUAAGGUGGAGGAUACUCCCGGGAAACUGGGGCUAAUACUCCAUAGAGGAUGUAACCUGGAAUAGUACAUCUUCGAAAGAUCCGUCGCCUUAGGAUGAGACUGCGUCUGAUUAGGUAGUUGGUGGGGUAACGGCCCACCAAGCCCAUCAUCAGUACGGGUUGUGGGAGCAAGAUCCCGGAGAUGGAUUCUGAGACAUGAAUCCAGGCCCUACGGGGCGCAGCAGGCGCGCAAACUUUACAAUGCGAGCAAUCGUGAUAAGGAAACCCUGAGUGCCUGUUGAUGCAGGCUGUUCAUUAGUUUAAAUUGCUAGUGAAGAAAGGGCAGGGCAAGACCGGUGCCAGCCGCCGCGGUAAUACCGGCUGCUCGAGUGAUGGCCACUAUUACUGGGUUUAAAGCGUCCGUAGCUUGAUUGUUAGGUCUCUUGGGAAAUCUUCAGACUUAACCUUAAGGCGUCUAAGAGAUACCGGCAAUCUUGGGACUGGGAGAGGUAAACCGUACUUCGGGGGUAGGAGUGAAACCUUGUAAUCCUCGAGGGACGACCUAUGGCGAAGGCAGUUUACCAGAACAGCUUCGACAGUGAGGGACGAAAGCUGGGGGAGCAAACGGGAUUAGAUACCCCGGUAGUCCCAGCCGUAAACAAUGUGCGUUAGGUGUAUCGGCAACCACGCGUUACUGAUGCGCCGCAGAGAAAUCGUGAAACGCACCACCUGGGAAGUAUGGUCGCAAGGCUGAAACUUAAAGGAAUUGGCGGGGGAGCACCACAACAGGUGGAGCCUGCGGUUUAAUUGGAUUCAACGCCGGACAUCUCACCGGGUAAGACAGCUGAAUGAUUGUCAAUCUGAAGGUUUUACAUGACUAGCUGAGAGGAGGUGCAUGGCCGUCGUCAGUUCGUACUGUGAAGCAUCCUGUUAAGUCAGGCAACGAGCG